GAUGAACGCUGGCGGCGUGCUUAACACAUGCAAGUCGAACGAUGAAGCCCAGCUUGCUGGGUGGAUUAGUGGCGAACGGGUGAGUAACACGUGAGUAACCUGCCCUUGACUCUGGGAUAAGCCUGGGAAACUGGGUCUAAUACUGGAUAUGACUUCUCAUCGCAUGGUGGGGGGUGGAAGGUUUUAUUGGUCUUGGAUGGACUCGCGGCCUAUCAGCUUGUUGGUGAGGUAAUGGCUCACCAAGGCGACGACGGGUAGCCGGCCUGAGAGGGUGACCGGCCACACUGGGACUGAGACACGGCCCAGACUCCUACGGGAGGCAGCAGUGGGGAAUAUUGCACAAUGGGCGCAAGCCUGAUGCAGCGACGCCGCGUGAGGGAUGACGGCCUUCGGGUUGUAAACCUCUUUCAGUAGGGAAGAAGCGAGAGUGACGGUACCUGCAGAAGAAGCGCCGGCUAACUACGUG
Molecule: ribosomal RNA, 466 nt
Filed under: uncultured bacterium
Lineage: Bacteria
Description: partial 16S ribosomal RNA
Rfam family: Bacterial small subunit ribosomal RNA
Source: RNAcentral